GGGUUUGGGUGGGAAGGCCAUAAAAGGGGAGAGUGACAAAUGGCAUUUCGAGAAAGGGCUUCUUCCCAAUUUUAAUGCAUUUCUUCUGAGAUUAUAACUAUGCUGAAUAUACAUUUUAUUUGCACGCUGUCUCCCCUUUUAAGAUCGAGCUUUAAAGAACAGACUUGUCUCUCGCUUUGUUUUUUGUUUCCUCCGCAAUUAGCACAUUGCUUCCCAUAUACUGAUAGCUAGGAUUUAUAUUGCUUUAAGAUCUGCACAGCGCUACACAAAUCUCUCAUUUUGCCCACAAAACGUGGGUGUUUGAGCAGAGGUCAAGCCCACCACCACCGAGUCUGCAGACCACAGCGGAGGGUGAGGGGAGGCAUCAAAAGGAGGCUCAUCCGUCUCACCGUCUGGAGCUCCAGGGGUACAUAACGUUCUCCAGGACGGUAGCGUCUUUAUUAACAGCACACAAAGGCAAACCCCCAGACGCUCUUCAGGCCCUGCUCAAGUCGGGCUCGCCUGGGUGUUGGUCCCUUCCCCCCACUCCCGGGCCGAGAAGCUACUUUUCAUUCGUUCUCAAUUACAACGACCCCCUGGGAGGUCAAGGCCCUUCCGGGUUCGGGGGACAGCCUUCGGGCGAUUUGUCUUUCACUUCUCCAGCCACUUCCUGCCCGAGUGUCCUCAGUUCCCGGCUGGAGAAGACCCUCAGGAAAGGGGGCUGGGAUCCACCUCCUCUCCGGGCCACCUCCCACGCCCUCUGCGUGCGCUCGACUUUUCUAGGUCCUAACUGCCGGCCCACCCACGCGAGGCUGAGAGGAGACACUGAGGGAAGGGGAGAGCAAAACCAGAAAAAAAAAAUACGAUAAAAUAACAUCUUUAGACGCAGAGCCGUUUCCUGCGUAGCUAGCCACUCAGCAUCCUGAGCCGAGCCCGCUGCCAUUAGUAAAGAUGGCGGCCCUUAGGCGGUAGCCCUUCCUCACGGAUAGAUUCCCGGGCAGGGCUAGACGAGGUUGGAGAGGUGGGGCGGCCGCCUCAGCCAUUCAUAGCUGAGAGCCUCCACGCGCCGCCAGCUGCCAUCACGACUUGACGCAUUGCAGAAGCUGCUGACAAGGGGGAGAAGGUGAUAAAGUGAAAAUGGCUGAAUGGAAAUCCAUGUCACCACUAUAAAAGCCAACUUAGAGGACCAGCUCCCAGCUAGAUAAGGUACCAAGUAUUCAAUGCUGCUAAGUAACUCUUUUGGUUUUCUAUUUUUAUUUAAGAUUUGAGAAACAGAAAUGUUUUAGUACUGUACCUAGAUCAAUCUGUAUAUGAA
RNAcentral lists this long non-coding RNA (1294 nucleotides) under Sarcophilus harrisii (Tasmanian devil). RNAcentral describes it as "lncRNA (ENSSHAG00000030302.1)". The record is from RNAcentral. Lineage: Eukaryota; Metazoa; Chordata; Mammalia; Dasyuromorphia; Dasyuridae.